GAAAUACGACUUCCGGCUACUUUUUUUUAAAAUAAAUAACCCCAAAUAUCUUAAGCAAAUCAUAUUUUAAUGUGUCUGUUCUUCAGAAAUAAUACAUUCAGUGGCACAUUACUUUAAAAAUAUCCAUGCUUUCGUUUUUUCUACUCCCACAGCCCACAAUAAUAUUUGCAGGAAAAAGGCUGCCAUCUGGUUUACAUUACUGUGACAUUAAGACGAUCUAUAUCUAUAGAUUAAACUAUACGGCAGCAUAAAAAAGAAGUUUAACCUUUUCUGAAUGAAAGGAAUAGUGAUGAUUAGUGGGAGUGGUAAUAUUUUAUUAUUAUAAGUAUUAUUUAGUUAUUAUUUUGUCCUGUUUUUUGGUCAUGAUAGUGGUGGUGGGUGGGUGGGGGGUUUCUAAGACAUGAGACACACCCAUCAUAGCAAACGACGUUCCAUUAUCCUUUUAAUUUGAAGGUGAGAUCGUCUUUCUUCCGGUUUCAGUGUCAACUUCACACGCCGUGUUUCCGGGUGCCUCGGCUGACAGCUUCACAGACCUGUCAGACCCCUCUCAUCAUCGGCGCCGUCUCCUGGGAUCCGAAGCGCUGCAGGCCUCUGCUCGAGGCGCACUGUCAGCCUUUAUUAUGGUUGUUUAUAACAUCGUGGCAAAGUUUAAAAGGACAGGUACCGUACUGUAUACACCGUUAGAGAAGAAAUGGAUACUCUCAGUAUCGCUGUCCCAGCCUCUCUCUUUCAUCGUGCUGCAGGGUAUUUAUUUUCUGUUCUUUUACUCUUCAAGGUGAAUGAAUACUACUUAUCAAAUGACCCACUGCAUGUAAAAACAUAAAGCUGAACACCUGCCAACUUUUAAUA
Molecule: long non-coding RNA, 849 nt
Organism: Oreochromis niloticus (Nile tilapia)
Lineage: Eukaryota; Metazoa; Chordata; Actinopteri; Cichliformes; Cichlidae
Exons: 2
Source: RefSeq, a predicted model, not a curated record